AUGGCAUCCACACCGUCAAGCAACCCGGCGGCCAAGGUGCCGAGAAGCCAUCGCCGGCGCCGAGCUAAGCGCGCCCGCGUCGGUGACGGAUCACCCUCCGCGGCGGAGUCGACGGUGCACGUCCCCGCCGACCAAUCUUCUACUCCCUCCGUAAUUCCGAACGGAGGGAGUAGCUGGCGGGGCUGGGCGAGCCUGGGGUCGGGGCCGGCGUGGCUGAUCGCGGACCGCGUGCUCGCCCGCGACGUCGCCGACUACGUCCGCUUCCGCGCGUCCUGCAGCGCGUGGCGGCGGUGCACGGCGGACCCGCAGGGCGACGCCCUCGACCCGCGGCGCUGGACCAUGCUCCAGGACGUCGUCACCCGCGGCCUUCGCUACCGGUACAGCCGCUUCAAGAACGACGCCACCGGCGAGCACAUCCGGAUGACGAUCCGGGGGCUGAACGGCCGCGACGGCCGCACGCACCUCGCGCGCACGUCCCAGGGCCUCCUCGUCCUGCUCAACAAGAAGACCGACGCCGUGUUCGUGGUGAACCCGGUCACCGGCGCCCGCGCCGACCUGCCGCCGGUGACCACGCUGCUGUCCGGCUACCGCAGGAGCGUCGUCUUCCCGAGAUGGCCCAGGGAGCUCCGCCUCGGCGCGCAGCUGAGCGACGACUCGGCGGUGGUGAUCAACUUCGGCGGGCGCCGGCUGCUGGGCGUCGCGAGGCCCGGCGACGGGCAGUGGGCCAAGGCGGAGUGCGAGCACCGGACCCGCGGGCCAGUCUCGUCGUUCGCAGGCCGCGUCGCUACCAAAGAGAAUGUUUGGCUAUCUAGCUCCAGCUUCAAGAAUGAGAAAUUUGGUGGAAAGGAUCUAUUUGAUUAG
RNAcentral lists this ribosomal RNA (861 nucleotides) under Triticum aestivum (bread wheat). RNAcentral's name for it is "partial small subunit ribosomal RNA". The record is from RNAcentral. Lineage: Eukaryota; Viridiplantae; Streptophyta; Magnoliopsida; Poales; Poaceae.